GCAGUGGUGAUUCAGUGGUAGAAUCCUUGCCUUCCAUGCAGUAGACCUGGGUUCAAUUCCAGGCCAGUGUA
RNAcentral lists this transfer RNA (71 nucleotides) under Loxodonta africana (African savanna elephant). It matches the Rfam family "tRNA". From Rfam's summary of the family: Transfer RNA (tRNA) molecules are approximately 80 nucleotides in length. Their secondary structure includes four short double-helical elements and three loops (D, anti-codon, and T loops). Further hydrogen bonds mediate the characteristic L-shaped molecular structure. tRNAs have two regions of fundamental functional importance: the anti-codon, which is responsible for specific mRNA codon recognition, and the 3' end, to which the tRNAs corresponding amino acid is attached (by aminoacyl-tRNA synthetases). tRNAs cope with the degeneracy of the genetic code in two manners: having more than one tRNA (with a specific anti-codon) for a particular amino acid; and 'wobble' base-pairing, i.e. permitting non-standard base-pairing at the 3rd anti-codon position. The record is from Rfam by way of RNAcentral. Lineage: Eukaryota; Metazoa; Chordata; Mammalia; Proboscidea; Elephantidae.